GGGGUUGUAGCUCAGUGGUAGAGCGCUUGCCUCGCAUGCAUGAGGCACUGGGUUCAAUCCUCAGUACCACA
RNAcentral lists this transfer RNA (71 nucleotides) under Marmota monax (woodchuck). Its description in RNAcentral is "tRNA.Ala". It matches the Rfam family "tRNA". From Rfam's summary of the family: Transfer RNA (tRNA) molecules are approximately 80 nucleotides in length. Their secondary structure includes four short double-helical elements and three loops (D, anti-codon, and T loops). Further hydrogen bonds mediate the characteristic L-shaped molecular structure. tRNAs have two regions of fundamental functional importance: the anti-codon, which is responsible for specific mRNA codon recognition, and the 3' end, to which the tRNAs corresponding amino acid is attached (by aminoacyl-tRNA synthetases). tRNAs cope with the degeneracy of the genetic code in two manners: having more than one tRNA (with a specific anti-codon) for a particular amino acid; and 'wobble' base-pairing, i.e. permitting non-standard base-pairing at the 3rd anti-codon position. Lineage: Eukaryota; Metazoa; Chordata; Mammalia; Rodentia; Sciuridae. The record is from RNAcentral.